RNAcentral lists this ribosomal RNA (486 nucleotides) under uncultured Verrucomicrobiota bacterium. Its description in RNAcentral is "bacterial SSU rRNA". It matches the Rfam family "Bacterial small subunit ribosomal RNA", at positions 355 to 834 of the family's 1533-position model. The record is from RNAcentral. Lineage: Bacteria; Pseudomonadati; Verrucomicrobiota.
UCGAGAAUUUUUCACAAUGGGCGCAAGCCUGAUGGAGCGACGCCGCGUGGGGGAUGAAGGGCUUCGGCCCGUAAACCCCUGUCAUUUGCGAACAAACCUUGCCUGAUAACACCAGGCGAGCUGAUUGUAGCGAAAGAGGAAGGGACGGCUAACUCUGUGCCAGCAGCCGCGGUAAUACAGAGGUCCCAAGCGUUGUUCGGAUUCACUGGGCGUAAAGGGUGCGUAGGUGGUGAGGUAAGUCGGAUGUGAAAUCUCUGAGCUCAACUCAGAAAUGGCAUUGGAAACUACCUUGCUUGAGGAUUGGAGGGGGGACUGGAAUUCUCGGUGUAGCAGUGAAAUGCGUAGAGAUCGAGAGGAACACCAGUGGCGAAGGCGAGUCCCUGGACAAUACCUGACACUGAGGCACGAAAGCUAGGGGAGCAAACAGGAUUAGAUACCCUGGUAGUCCUAGCCGUAAACGGUGUGCACUUGCUGUAGGCGGAAUCC